AGCGACGCCGCGUGUGUGAUGAAGGCCUUCGGGUUGUAAACCCCUUUUCUCGGGGAAGAAAAAGGACGGUCCCUGAGAAAUAAGCCCCGGCUAAUUCCUGCCCAGCAGCCCGGUAAUACCGAAGGGGCAAGCGUUGCUCCGAAUUUCUGGGCGUAAAGGGCGUUGUAGGCGGCUGGAUAAUUCUGUUGUGAAACCCGCCGGCUCAGCUGGAAGUGGUCAAGGAAUACUGAUCGGCUGGAUUGCGGAAGAGGAAGGUGGAAUUCCCGGUGUAGGGGUGAAAUGCGUAAAUUUCGGGAGGAACACCAGUGGCAAAGGCGGUUUGCUGGACCGUUCCUGACGCUGAGGUCCAAAACCGUGGGUAGCAAACAGGAUUAAAUACCCGGGUAGUCCACGCCCUAAACAAUGGGCACUAAGUGUGGGGGGUAUCAACCCCCUCGGUGGCGGAGCUAAUUUAAUAAUUCCGCCUGGGGGGUAC
Molecule: ribosomal RNA, 475 nt
Filed under: uncultured Nitrospirota bacterium
Lineage: Bacteria; Pseudomonadati; Nitrospirota
Description: bacterial SSU rRNA
Rfam family: Bacterial small subunit ribosomal RNA
Source: RNAcentral